GGCCCCGUAGCUCAGCUGGAUAGAGCAUCCCCCUCCUAAGGGGAAGGUCGCCCGUUCGAAUCGGGCCGGGGUCACCA
This 77-nucleotide transfer RNA is filed under the name Stenotrophomonas maltophilia. RNAcentral's name for it is "tRNA-Arg". It matches the Rfam family "tRNA". From Rfam's summary of the family: Transfer RNA (tRNA) molecules are approximately 80 nucleotides in length. The record is from RNAcentral. Lineage: Bacteria; Pseudomonadati; Pseudomonadota; Gammaproteobacteria; Lysobacterales; Lysobacteraceae. RNAcentral also lists the same sequence under 2 other names.